RNAcentral lists this ribosomal RNA (253 nucleotides) under uncultured bacterium. RNAcentral describes it as "partial 16S ribosomal RNA". It matches the Rfam family "Bacterial small subunit ribosomal RNA", at positions 524 to 776 of the family's 1533-position model. The record is from RNAcentral.
UACGAAGGGUGCAAACGUUGCUCGGAAUCAUUGGGCGUAAAGCGCACGUAGGCGGCUUUGCAAGUCGGACGUGAAAUCCCUCAGCUCAACUGAGGAAGUGCAUCCGAGACUGCAAGGCUUGAGUACUGAAGCGGAUCGCGGAAUUCCCGGUGUAGAGGUGAAAUUCGUAGAUAUCGGGAGGAACACCAGUGGCGAAGGCGGCGAUCUGGGCAGAUACUGACGCUGAGGCGCGAAAGCGUGGGGAGCGAUCCGG